This 330-nucleotide ribosomal RNA is filed under the name uncultured eukaryote. RNAcentral describes it as "partial 18S ribosomal RNA". It matches the Rfam family "Eukaryotic small subunit ribosomal RNA", at positions 1470 to 1796 of the family's 1831-position model. The record is from RNAcentral.
CCCUUAGAUGUUCGGGGCCGCACGCGCGCUACACUGAAGGAAUCAGCACGUCUUUCUCCUUGUCCGAAAGGACUGGGUAACCCGCUGAACCUCCUUCGUGCUAGGGAUUGGGGCUUGUAAUUCUUCCCCAUGAACGAGGAAUUCCCAGUAAGCGCGAGUCAUAAGCUCGCGUUGAUUACGUCCCUGCCCUUUGUACACACCGCCCGUCGCUACUACCGAUUGGAUGGUUUAGUGAGAUCCUCUGAUUGGUCCCGGCGCGGCCUCUGGUCGUGCCGGAGUGCCGAAAAGAAUGUCGAACUUGAUCAUCUAGAGGAAGUAAAAGUCGUAACA